Molecule: ribosomal RNA, 898 nt
Filed under: Micromonospora sp.
Lineage: Bacteria; Bacillati; Actinomycetota; Actinomycetes; Micromonosporales; Micromonosporaceae
Description: bacterial SSU rRNA
Rfam family: Bacterial small subunit ribosomal RNA
Source: RNAcentral
GCUUACACAUGCAGUCGAGCGGAAGGCCCUUCGGGGUACUCGAGCGGCGAACGGGUGAGUAACACGUGAGCAACCUGCCCUAGGCUUUGGGAUAACCCUCGGAAACGGGGGCUAAUACCGAAUAUUACCUCUUGUCGCAUGGUGGGGGGUGGAAAGUUUUUCGGCCUGGGAUGGGCUCGCGGCCUAUCAGCUUGUUGGUGGGGUGAUGGCCUACCAAGGCGACGACGGGUAGCCGGCCUGAGAGGGCGACCGGCCACACUGGGACUGAGACACGGCCCAGACUCCUACGGGAGGCAGCAGUGGGGAAUAUUGCACAAUGGGCGGAAGCCUGAUGCAGCGACGCCGCGUGAGGGAUGACGGCCUUCGGGUUGUAAACCUCUUUCAGCAGGGACGAAGCGUAAGUGACGGUACCUGCAGAAGAAGCACCGGCCAACUACGUGCCAGCAGCCGCGGUAAGACGUAGGGUGCGAGCGUUGUCCGGAUUUAUUGGGCGUAAAGAGCUCGUAGGCGGCUUGUCGCGUCGACCGUGAAAACUUGGGGCUCAACCCCAAGCCUGCGGUCGAUACGGGCAGGCUAGAGUUCGGUAGGGGAGACUGGAAUUCCUGGUGUAGCGGUGAAAUGCGCAGAUAUCAGGAAGAACACCGGUGGCGAAGGCGGGUCUCUGGGUCGAUACUGACGCUGAGGAGCGAAAGUGUGGGGGAGCGAACAGAUUAGAUACCCUGGUAGUCCACGCUGUAAACGUGUGGGCGCUAGGUGUGGGGGGCUUCCUNGGUUCUCUGUGCCGCAGCUAACGCAUUAGCUCCCCCCCCUAGGGAGUACAGCAGGGAGGCUAAUAUUGAAUGGAAUUGAUGGGGGUCCGUUAAUUAUCGUACCUGCUCAUUAAUUCUACUCGCUCUGA